GUGAACGCUGGCGGCGUGCUUAACACAUGCAGGUCGAGCGAAGCGGCAGCUGUAGCAAUACAGUAUGUGCUUAGCGGCAGACGGGUGAGUAACACGUAGAUAACCUUCCUCUUAGAGGGGGAUAGCUUGCCGAAAGGCAAGGUAAUACCCCAUACGAUCCUGUUUUGGCAUCAAGAUAGGAUGAAACCCGCAAGGGGCUUAGAGAGGGGUCUGCGGCCUAUCAGCUAGUUGGUGAGGUAACGGCUCACCAAGGCUACGACGGGUAUCCGACCUGAAAGGGUGACCGGACACACUGACACUGAGACACGGGUCAGACUCCUACGGGAGGCAGCAGUGAGGAAUCUUGGACAAUGGGCGAAAGCCUGAUCCAGCGACGCCGCGUGAAGGAUGAAGGUCUUC
Molecule: ribosomal RNA, 399 nt
Filed under: uncultured bacterium
Lineage: Bacteria
Description: bacterial SSU rRNA
Rfam family: Bacterial small subunit ribosomal RNA
Source: RNAcentral